Molecule: transfer RNA, 85 nt
Filed under: Patescibacteria group bacterium
Lineage: Bacteria
Description: tRNA-Tyr
Rfam family: tRNA
About the family: Transfer RNA (tRNA) molecules are approximately 80 nucleotides in length. Their secondary structure includes four short double-helical elements and three loops (D, anti-codon, and T loops). Further hydrogen bonds mediate the characteristic L-shaped molecular structure. tRNAs have two regions of fundamental functional importance: the anti-codon, which is responsible for specific mRNA codon recognition, and the 3' end, to which the tRNAs corresponding amino acid is attached (by aminoacyl-tRNA synthetases). tRNAs cope with the degeneracy of the genetic code in two manners: having more than one tRNA (with a specific anti-codon) for a particular amino acid; and 'wobble' base-pairing, i.e. permitting non-standard base-pairing at the 3rd anti-codon position.
Source: RNAcentral
GGGCGGUUCGUAUAGCGGCAAUUACACCUGACUGUAAAUCAGGCGCCUUUUGGCUCCAGAGGUUCGAGUCCUCUACCGCCCACCA